This 303-nucleotide ribosomal RNA is filed under the name uncultured bacterium. RNAcentral's name for it is "partial 16S ribosomal RNA". It matches the Rfam family "Bacterial small subunit ribosomal RNA", at positions 507 to 807 of the family's 1533-position model. The record is from RNAcentral.
AGCAGUCGCCGCGGGAACACGUAGGGUGCAAGCGUUAAUCGGAAUUACUGGGCGUAAAGCGUGCGCAGGCGGUUAUAUAAGACAGAUGUGAAAUCCCCGGGCUCAACCUGGGAACUGCAUUUGUGACUGUAUAGCUAGAGUACGGCAGAGGGGGAUGGAAUUCCGCGUGUAGCAGUGAAAUGCGUAGAUAUGCGGAGGAACACCGAUGGCGAAGGCAAUCCCCUGGGCCUGUACUGACGCUCAUGCACGAAAGCGUGGGGAGCAAACAGGAUUAGAUACCCCCGUAGUCCCUGUCUCUUAUAC